This 77-nucleotide transfer RNA is filed under the name Clostridium botulinum. Its description in RNAcentral is "tRNA-Asp". It matches the Rfam family "tRNA". Rfam says of the family: Transfer RNA (tRNA) molecules are approximately 80 nucleotides in length. Their secondary structure includes four short double-helical elements and three loops (D, anti-codon, and T loops). Lineage: Bacteria; Bacillati; Bacillota; Clostridia; Eubacteriales; Clostridiaceae. RNAcentral also lists the same sequence under 12 other names. The record is from RNAcentral.
GGCCCAGUGGCUCAGUUGGUUAGAGUGCCGGCCUGUCACGCCGGAGGUCGAGGGUUCGAACCCCUUCUGGGUCGCCA